UAACAAUACGAUUUCAGCCGACCGGAACACCGUCCCGUGUACGCUGUCAUUUUCGAAUGAUGCGCACGGUACACGCAUUGUUGUGCAUCAGGUGUGUGUGCACGUUUCGAUCACGGAGAAACAUGCGUUACGGGCGAUUAAUUGUAAAUUGUUCGUAAUGUAUAAUGCUUGGCAAUUAUAUAUAUAUAUUUUUUUUUUAAUUUUUUUUUUUAAAAAAACAUCUAGCAUGUAACUACGUUAUAUUUAUACACUAUUAGUUUUAGAUUUAAAAAAAAAAAAAAAAACCCUGAAAUAUUCGUACGUUUAACGUUUGACAUUUGUGUACAAUAUUUGUGUAAUAAUAAUUUAACCUAACCUACAUAUUAUGCAUUAAUAUUAUUAUUAUAUACAUGUAUUACGAAGCGUAAAACACUCUAAAAAAAAAAACAAAAAAAAACCCGUG
Molecule: non-coding RNA, 442 nt
Organism: Cinara cedri
Lineage: Eukaryota; Metazoa; Arthropoda; Insecta; Hemiptera; Aphididae
Source: the annotation of a GenBank genome assembly